GGACCAUAUAUUAAAUUGAUUUUUGGAGCAGGGACAUGGAAUAGGGGCUUGCUCCGUCCACUCCACGCAUCGACCUGGUAUUGCAGUAUUUCUAGGAACGGUGC
Molecule: small nuclear RNA, 104 nt
Organism: Astatotilapia calliptera (eastern happy)
Lineage: Eukaryota; Metazoa; Chordata; Actinopteri; Cichliformes; Cichlidae
Gene: U2
Rfam family: U2 spliceosomal RNA
About the family: U2 is a small nuclear RNA (snRNA) component of the spliceosome (involved in pre-mRNA splicing).
Source: Ensembl